This is a long non-coding RNA of Pungitius pungitius (ninespine stickleback), 1663 nucleotides long. RefSeq lists it as uncharacterized. The transcript has 6 exons. NCBI's taxonomy places the organism in Eukaryota, Metazoa, Chordata, Actinopteri, Perciformes, Gasterosteidae. The record is from RefSeq and is a predicted model, not a curated record.
ACGAGCUGCUCAUUCUGAAGGGUGGCAACAGGACGACAAACAUCAAGUGGUUGUUCUUGAUAAAGCCUUCUUUACAACAGGUGCAGGGAGCUGUCAUCAAGCGGAUCUAUUUAUUAUUUGGAAGAAAAGGUGGAUUGUUUCCUUGAAGCAAAGAUAAACGUUACGAGGAAUUCAACGUCUGCUGUCAUGACGUGAGGAUCCUGGAAUGUGCAACGAAGGCCCAGCCGUGAUUGGUUGUGUCCUCGUCACAUGGCAUACUGAGGUCGUUGCAGAGGUAGAGCGGGUUGCUGAGACCCCCGGUGGAUGGUGGCAGGCGAUGCAGAACAAAGCAAAGGAGUGAAGUGAAUGGAGCAGCAGGAACUGUUGAUGAUCUCUGGAUCAGUUCUCCUUCUCCUAACAAACUGUUCGAGCAAAGUCGUCAUCGAGCAAAGGCCUCCGUUCCAGACGUACUGAUUCAUGGUUUUAAUGUAUUAAUCCAGCCAAUAAGAAGUCAUCAUCAACUGGUCUGGCGCCGGGACCCACCAUCACCCCUUAAUGACAAGCAGUGACCCAAAUCGAGGAACAUUCUCAACUUCUCAAAUUAAUUCAAAAUCAAGAUCAUAAGCAGAAUUUUUUAUUUUAUAUUCAGGAUGUUUAAUUAUCCUCAAAACCAGAAUGGUUUGACCCAACCUGCCACACGCUGCUGAAAACAUGGACGGACGAGCCGGCAAAAAAACCACACUCCGCUGCAUUAAAAAAGUCCCUUCAAAAUAAAAUCACAGGAUGAAUUUUUUUGUGAUUUUUUAAUUUUUUUUAUUCAAAUUUGUAUUUUCCCAGGCAAAGGCCCGGGACCCACUAGUGGGUACAACUAUAUCAUGUUUAAAAAGUUGUAAUUUUCACCGCAGAACCAAGUAGAGAAGGCUACCAUUACCUAUGUGUUUUUGAUAGCGGGUGCUAGCUUAAGGAUAGGAGUCUUCUCUUCUCUUGGCGGUUCCAUUAAUGACGAUGUGGUUGAGGUUACAAGGCGGUCGAAGAAACCACCGUUGACUGUUGGAAGGACAAAGACCUUCUCCCGUCGGCGCCUCAUAGACCAAACCAAACUGUGGAAAUGAUUGACUUUGAUGUUGGACAGUCAUCCAGUCACUUCACCAUCCAACACAAUGGUCACAAGAAUGAAGCUUUUCAGCCGCUUUACCGGGAGCUUCAUGUCUCCUGGUAAGGCAAGGAUUCCAUUAAACCACCGCAACAUCACAAAGAGGAAAGUGAACGCCGUCUAGACGGGAGUUACGGCGUGUACCCGGCUGUUGGACUGAUUCUUCCCCUGGAGACGGACCGGUGCGACGUGGCCUCCUCCUUCCAGCACCUUGCUCUGGCUGCCAGACCAACAUAGAAUGCAAAGCCCCCGCCCCCCCUCCUUCACUCCCCCCUCCUCCCCCCCGCCCAUCUGCUCCCCGGCCGCUUACUGGAGGCUUUCGGGGGCUGCUGGUUUCAGAGCUGUGGAAUGUGAUGCCUCGGGUUCCAGAGCCAGUCGACAUCUGUUGCUUCUUCAAAAGAUGCAACUACAGGAACAUCUAUCAGCCUCUUAAUCGGCACGUACAUGUACAUAUAUGUAAAUAUAUUCUUAGAAUAUAUCUGUCUGCCUUCACACGUCCUCUUACUACAAACAUUCAUUCAAAAGCAUUUG